This is a transfer RNA of Felis catus (domestic cat), 73 nucleotides long. It matches the Rfam family "tRNA". From Rfam's summary of the family: Transfer RNA (tRNA) molecules are approximately 80 nucleotides in length. Their secondary structure includes four short double-helical elements and three loops (D, anti-codon, and T loops). The record is from Rfam. NCBI's taxonomy places the organism in Eukaryota, Metazoa, Chordata, Mammalia, Carnivora, Felidae.
GCCUGGCUGGCUCAGUUGGUAGAGCACGUGACUCUCAAUCUCAGGGUCGCGAGUUCAAGCCCCACGUUGGGCA